AAUGAAAGUGUUUGCUGUAAUGAGUUUUCUUCUAUUUGUUUUCUCUUAAAAUUUAUACUGCUUCCUCUUCCUGGCUUUUUCUCAGAGCUAUCACAGUAUAAUGUUUACUGCUAAAGAUGCAGAAUGACUACUUCAGGCUUAUUUCCUUAUGCCUUCCACCAAAGGGACUAAGGGCCAAAUGGAGUGGUCUCUUUGACAUCGAUACAAGUAGAAAAAGGCAUCCAGGAUGGAAAUCCAGUACACAACCAUUGCACCCUGCUCCUGUAUUCCCCCCUGGACCCAUGAUGUUCAUAUUCUACAGACUUCAUAAAGGUAGUGUUCUAGGACAGGACAUUGCAUGGGGUGGUUAAUCUAAUAUGCUUUACCAGAUACAUUCCCUCUGUUCCCUUUUUUUCUUUUUUUAAGAUUACUUCUGCACAACAACAGAGCAUUGUGCAUGAAGUCACAGGGAGACUUUGGCAUAUUAUAGCAUUGCUUAAUAAUUUUUGGGAAAUUGGUGCCAGGCCUGAAUUUGGCCCUUUGAUGGCAGAAGCAUUAUUCUUUAUUCUCCUGA
This 553-nucleotide long non-coding RNA is filed under the name Gopherus agassizii (Agassiz's desert tortoise). RNAcentral describes it as "lncRNA (ENSGAGG00000005634.1)". The record is from RNAcentral. Lineage: Eukaryota; Metazoa; Chordata; Testudines; Testudinidae.